GAUGAACGCUAGCGAUAGGCUUAACACAUGCAAGUCGAGGGGCAGCGAGGGUAGCAAUACCUGUCGGCGACCGGCGCACGGGUGAGUAGCGCGUAUGUAACCUGCCCGCAACAGGGGGAUAACCCGGCGAAAGUCGGACUAAUACCGCAUAAAACAGGGGUCCCGCAUGGGAAUAUUUGUUAAAGAUUUAUCGGUUGCGGAUGGGCAUGCGUACCAUUAGGUAGUUGGUGAGGUAACGGCUCACCAAGCCUUCGAUGGUUAGGGGUUCUGAGAGGAAGGUCCCCCACACUGGGACUGAGACACGGACCAGACUCCUACGGGAGGCAGCAGUGAGGAAUAUUGGUCAAUGGGCGAGAGCCUGAACCAGCCAAGUCGCGUGAAGGAUGACUGCCCUAUGGGUUGUAAACUUCUUUUACAAGGGAAUAAAAUGAGAUACGUGUAUUUUAUUGCAUGUACCUUGGGAAUAAGCAUCGGCUAACUCCGUG
This 485-nucleotide ribosomal RNA is filed under the name uncultured bacterium. RNAcentral's name for it is "partial 16S ribosomal RNA". It matches the Rfam family "Bacterial small subunit ribosomal RNA", at positions 28 to 507 of the family's 1533-position model. The record is from RNAcentral.